AAUAAAGAGAAAAAUGAAAAGAUACAGAGGAAGAUAGAUAGACUGAGAAAAGAAGUUGAUAUUACCAGAAAAUUAGAUGUAGAUAAAGUAUCAAAUGUUGCUUUGAAAGAAGAAAAAGAAUGGAAUAAAAUUCUUAUUCAG
Molecule: long non-coding RNA, 141 nt
Organism: Centruroides sculpturatus (bark scorpion)
Lineage: Eukaryota; Metazoa; Arthropoda; Arachnida; Scorpiones; Buthidae
Exons: 2
Source: RefSeq, a predicted model, not a curated record